CUCGUUACUGCAGCCAGUCCAGAACCCGGAAGUAACCAGCUAGUGCAAAUUCUCUUCAAUUAGACAAUUCUCUGAGGAAGAAAUCCGCGUUAGCAGCCUAAUGAGUAAAAUGUCUAUUUUUCCGGCGUCCCCCAGCUCCUCGUUUAAGCAAAAGAUUCUAGAAGAUCAUCAUGCUUGCUGAUGGCCUGCUGCACUCCCUGACCAAGACAAUCUCCACGGCUAUGAACUUGACUAGUGUGUUUUUAAUUAUGUUGGCCAAUGAGACAGGCACCAUACUGUCCAACGCAAAGAUAGGAUAGAGUCAUUUGACUCUGUGAUUCUUCAGGACAAGAUCUUGAUGCCAUCCACACUCAGUACAUGACGAAGGUGAGUUUCGCAAUUGCUGCCAUUAUCACAAAUCAAGAGACAGAACACAACAGGCCUUCUUCCAUAUGAACUCACCCAUAUGUAGGAAUGGGUACCGAAACCCGGUGUUAAAUGGGCCCAGGGUUCUGUUGUCAAUCCGCGUUCGCGGGUCCGCAGUGACGCUGCUGACGUGUGUCUGGUGUGUCCCGUGUAUUCGGCUUCAAAUAAUUAGAGGAGGACUUGCAUUUAUCUUGCCCAGCCAUGUGUCUAAAUCCUUAGACAUCCUUAGAACCCAGAUUUGUUUUGUUUACAGCGUGCGUCUCCCUCUGACUGUAAACGAAGCUUGGGAGCACCA
This is a non-coding RNA of Pimephales promelas (fathead minnow), 700 nucleotides long. NCBI's taxonomy places the organism in Eukaryota, Metazoa, Chordata, Actinopteri, Cypriniformes, Leuciscidae. The record is from RefSeq and is a predicted model, not a curated record.